Molecule: long non-coding RNA, 1644 nt
Organism: Hemicordylus capensis (graceful crag lizard)
Lineage: Eukaryota; Metazoa; Chordata; Lepidosauria; Squamata; Cordylidae
Exons: 3
Source: RefSeq, a predicted model, not a curated record
GCCUGCUGGGCAGACUUAAGAACAGAGCUCUGACAGGGUUCCUCAUAGCUUUGUUUGAUUUAAUUAUCUAAAUAAUAAUGCAGUAAAUCAUGUUAUGGUGGUUGUUGGUGUGUGAAGUCUCUUGCAGUUAUGAGCACCACUGAGGUGGAGUGUUGACUCUUCUGCUGCCAUUGACUAAGCAGUGUAAUAUCACAGGUGGUCUGAGUAGCAGAAGGAAUCUGAGGGACAGGAAGGUUGGGGGAAGCAAGGAAGCCCUGAAGAAAAAAGUGAAAUGGUCUUCUGAAAUGAACAACAGUUAAAGGAUGAACAGAAAAAGCAGGAGCCUUGGAAAGGAAGAGAAGAGGCAAAUGAGGAGAUGGGAUGGGGCAUGGAGUUACGUGAUACCAACAUCAACCACCUGCUGUCCUGCAGAUAGAAAAUGACGACAUGGAGGUUGUUCUCACGAUCAACCAUACCUGGGUAGAACCGGGCAAGCCAAGGCAUAUUUACUCAGGAGUAAAUCUUACUGAGUACACCGUAGAACACACUUCUGAGAAAACAUGCAUAGGAUCACACUGUAAGACAGUUCUCAGAGGAUGCCUCUCUUAGAAGAAGACAGAACUGACCAAAAGAAUGACCUCUGCCUUUCUGGGAUGCUCGCUGCCUGCCUGAUGCUGUGGAUGAAACUGUCCCAACGCACUCUAUUCAUCACUGCUGCUGCUUCUUAAGGAGCAGCAAUUGGCACACUCACUCAUUGAUCCAUCAGUGCCACACGCCUCUCAUUGGGUCUCGAGCAGCCAACUACAAAUGAGACGUUGAGGCUUGUCAGUCAAAAGCUCUUCAUGGCUCCUGUUACUGCUGCAGGAUAUUCCUACCUGGUGUCCAGCAAAAAAGUCCCUGUGGGCUGGAUCUGGCCCCUGGGACUUAUGUCGUGCAGGCCUGCUAUAGGACAAGCCCCCCAUCAUUGUGCAAAUGGGAACUCAAAGCCAAGUGGUUUUUAUUAUCAAAACCAAUACUCUAGUCAUUAAAAGAAACAUACCAUAUCCCUAUUAUGUGCCUACAAUUAAUAACUGAACAAUGUUUGGUAAUAUUUACCCCAUUAAAUUCACCAAAGUGGCUACAUCGCUCCCAAUACUUGAUUUGAAUUCCCAGACCCAGUUUUCUCUAUGUAGUAGGGAUGGUGACAAGUCAUUAUACCACCCUCUGUUUACAGGGUCUUUAACAUUUAUAUUAUAUAAAUAUAUUGCAUUAUAUUAUAUAUAUUCUUUGUUUGAUCAGGUUGCUAGUUUACUGGAUUAUGGGAAUGCUGUGGAUGUAAUGCCGCUUCCUGCCACUGCAUGAUGGGGCGGGGUUGUCUCCUGAAGCAGGCAUUGGGGCCUCCAUCUUCGUUCCCCCUCCAUGUGGCUGCGACCAGCAAAUCGGGAGGGAGGUGAGCCGAUCGAGCCUGGUCGCCUCAAUUCCAAUCAGUCUCCCUGCAGCCUGGCAGGGAGUUUUUGCAGCCCAGAGGGUUGGGGAAUGGUCCCUGCUUGGGGUGGUGCUUGUGGCUCAAUGCAAAAACUCAGUUUUUGCGGGUUUGGUUGGGGUUGGGUCGGGCUGCCACCCCCUCAGCGGGGGAUGUGGUAACAGGAGGUCAGGACAUGGCAUCUGACCAAAUCAGUACCUGGC